RNAcentral lists this ribosomal RNA (320 nucleotides) under uncultured eukaryote. RNAcentral's name for it is "partial 18S ribosomal RNA". It matches the Rfam family "Eukaryotic small subunit ribosomal RNA", at positions 1470 to 1796 of the family's 1831-position model. The record is from RNAcentral.
CCCCUAGAUGUUCUGGGCCGCACGCGCGCUACACUGAACAGUUCAACAAGUCUUAACCUUGGCCGAUAGGUCUGGGUAAUCUUUGAACGCUGUUCGUGAUUGGGAUAGACCUUUGCAAUUAUGGGUCUUCAACGAGGAAUUCCUAGUAAACGCAAGUCAUCAGCUUGCAUUGAUUACGUCCCUGCCCUUGGUACACACCGCCCGUCGCACCUACCGAUUGAAUGGUCCGGUGAAAUCUCGGGACGGCGGCUUGGUCGCUUGCGUCCGACUGCUGAAACUUGAUUAAACCAUAUCAUUUAGAGGAAGGUGAAGUCGUAACA